RNAcentral lists this ribosomal RNA (497 nucleotides) under uncultured bacterium. RNAcentral's name for it is "partial 16S ribosomal RNA". It matches the Rfam family "Bacterial small subunit ribosomal RNA", at positions 28 to 507 of the family's 1533-position model. The record is from RNAcentral.
GAUGAACGCUGGCGGCGUGCCUAAUACAUGCAAGUCGAGCGAACAGACGAGGAGCUUGCUCCUCUGACGUUAGCGGCGGACGGGUGAGUAACACGUGGAUAACCUACCUAUAAGACUGGGAUAACUUCGGGAAACCGGAGCUAAUACCGGAUAAUAUAUUGAACCGCAUGGUUCAAUAGUGAAAGACGGUUUUGCUGUCACUUAUAGAUGGAUCCGCGCCGCAUUAGCUAGUUGGUAAGGUAACGGCUUACCAAGGCAACGAUGCGUAGCCGACCUGAGAGGGGGAUCGGCCACACUGGAACUGAGACGCGGUCCAGACUCCUACGGGAGGCAGCAGUAGGGAAUCUUCCGCAAUGGGCGAAAGCCUGACGGAGCAGCGCCGCGUGAGUGAUGAAGGUCUUCGGAUCGUAAAACUCUGUUAUUAGGGAAGAACAAAUGUGUAAGUAACUAUGCACGUCUUGACGGUACCUAAUCAGAAAGCCACGGCUAACUACGUG